GACGAACGCUGGCGGCGUGCUUAACACAUGCAAGUCGAACGCUGAAGCCCUUUCGGGGGUGGAUGAGUGGCGAACGGGUGAGUAACACGUGGGUAAUCUGCCCUGCACUCUGGGAUAAGCCUUGGAAACGGGGUCUAAUACCGGAUAGGACACAUCGCCGCAUGGUGUGUGUGUGGAAAGCUCCGGCGGUGCAGGUUGAGCCCGCGGCCUAUCGGCUUGUUGGUGGGGUGAUGGCCUACCAAGGCGACGACGGGUAGCCGGCCUGAGAGGGUGACCGGCCACACUGGGACUGAGACACGGCCCAGACUCCUACGGGAGGCAGCAGUGGGGAAUCUUGCGCAAUGGGCGAAAGCCUGACGCAGCAACGCCGCGUGGGGGAUGACGGCCUUCGGGUUGUAAACCUCUUUCGACCGGGACGAAGGGUGACUGACGGUACCGGUAGAAGAAGCACCGGCUAACUACGUGCCAGCCGCCGCGGUAA
RNAcentral lists this ribosomal RNA (481 nucleotides) under uncultured bacterium. RNAcentral describes it as "partial 16S ribosomal RNA". It matches the Rfam family "Bacterial small subunit ribosomal RNA", at positions 28 to 523 of the family's 1533-position model. The record is from RNAcentral.